UUGGAAGGAGGGUAGUAGAAUGCAUAUGGAUGGUGGUUUCCAGAGUUGUGAAUCUGUGAUAUUGUAAUUUAUAAUGUGUAUUUGGUCAUUCAGAUGACCAAAAUUUGUUUCUCAGAUAUAUUUGGUCUUCAUCCACAGUUCCUGACUUACAUUCCCCAAAACCUUGUCCUACCUGUUGAAAGUGAAAAAGGUAUCAUUUGUUGUGUUAAUGAGGUGAUGUUGCAUCUCUGGAAUGAGGCUGGCUGCCUGGAGAACCAACCUGGUGAUUAGAGGGUAGGAAUUUUUAGUUCCACCUCCUGACCCCUGGGGAGGAAAAAGGAGCUGGAUGUUGAAUCAAUAGCCAAUGGCCAAGGAUUUCACCAAUCACACCUUUGUAAUGAAGCCUCCUAAAAAGCCCGAAAGGACAGGGUUCAGAGAUCUUCUGGGUUGGUGAACAAACCCAUGGAGGUGUGGGUGAGUUUACUCCAGGAGAGGCCCUGGAAGCCCCACCCUUUCCCUCACAUCUUGCCCUAUGCAUCUCUUCCAUCUGGCUGUUUCUUAGUUAUUUCCUGAGUAUUCUUUCCUCAGUGCUGAAUACUAAUUUGAAGGGAUAUCUUUGGUUCUUUGCAGAGAAUGGAGGCUGCAGUAUCAACCCCUAGAGAUUUCCAGCCAACUUGGGCCCCUGCAUGGUGCUCCUUCAUCUGGUUUAGUCUGCAGUUGCCAAGGGAGUGAUGGGAGAAUUUCUUAAAGAGGCUUCCAUUCAACCCUGCUCAUUUGCUGGGUUGGUUAUGUCUACAUAAUGGAGAAGAUGAGUCCUGACAGCAGCAGAUUUACAUAGUCCUGCAUGACUUCUAGACAGAUGAAGCCCUGUCUUUGACAGCUCUUACUGUUUCCAAAACAUAAGGAGGCUGAGCAGAC
Molecule: long non-coding RNA, 897 nt
Organism: Phacochoerus africanus (Common warthog)
Lineage: Eukaryota; Metazoa; Chordata; Mammalia; Artiodactyla; Suidae
Exons: 3
Source: RefSeq, a predicted model, not a curated record